UACGUAGGGGGCUAGCGUUGUCCGGAAUCAUUGGGCGUAAAGAGCGUGUAGGCGGCCCGGUAAGUCCGCUGUAAAAGUCAAAGGCUCAACCUUUGAAUGUCAGUGGAUACUGCCGGGCUAGAGUCCGGAAGAGGCGAGUGGAACUCUUGGUGUAGCGGUGGAAUGCGCAGAUAUCAGGAAGAACACCAACGGCGAAGGCAGCUCGCUGGGACGGUACUGACGCUGAGACGCGAAAGCGUGGGGAGCAAACGGG
This 253-nucleotide ribosomal RNA is filed under the name uncultured bacterium. RNAcentral's name for it is "partial 16S ribosomal RNA". It matches the Rfam family "Bacterial small subunit ribosomal RNA", at positions 524 to 776 of the family's 1533-position model. The record is from RNAcentral.